Molecule: long non-coding RNA, 940 nt
Filed under: Ananas comosus (pineapple)
Lineage: Eukaryota; Viridiplantae; Streptophyta; Magnoliopsida; Poales; Bromeliaceae
Description: long non-coding RNA (ACOM_LNC013222)
Source: RNAcentral
UUAGUUAACUUAUAUAGAAUCGCAUGUCUCUAUUUUAGGUUCCGACGAUUGAUUUUCUGCACAGUUUUGACUAGAUAAUUUCUCUCUUUGAAGCUGCGUUAAGGUAAGCGACCGGACACCCAUUAGUUUUUGUAAAAUAAUUUAGAAAAUACUUUGAUUGUGUGCAGAUCUUUAUUUUGUAGAUUUUAAAAUUAAGGGUUAAGCAUAUAUUAAAUAUUUCUGUAAACUGAGUUUCAACUAUGAUUGAAAGAUUUUUUUAACAGAAAAUUUCAAAAUUUGAUAAUCUGUUCUAUAAGUUAAUGACUGGAUAAUUUUAAAUUAUAAUGUCUCUUGGUAUUCUGCUAUGCUAAUGGUGGCCAUGUCGACAUGUAUUUUGUUAUAGAAGUGAGCUUCGUCUUUAUAUUGCGCCUUCGGGUGCCUGCGCCUAUCCGCGCCUCUGUUUUGUUUGCGCCUUCGAGUGUCUCUAUUUUGUACAUGCACUUUCGGGUGCCUCUGUUCUGUUUGGACCUUCGGGUGCCUCUGUUUUGUUUACGCCUUCGGGUGUCUUUGGAUCUUACCAAUGGAUCAUAUGAUAUAGUUAGGUGCCGGAGACUUAAUAUUAUUCUGUUCAUUUACUGAAAGAGAAAUGCUUUGUAAAGUUAUAGUUUCAAUCCGAUCUGAAUUUUAAGUUUUGAUAAAUUCUUCUUUUCUAAAUUUUGCAAAUUAAAAACCAGUCGCUUGAAUUAAUUUCUGUAUUCAUUUAUUUAUUUGUAUUGUAUGCUUAAUCCGACUAAUGUGGUGUAUGGUUGCUUACCCAGGUUCUGAGAGCGAUUCGCAGGGCGGGGCUGGGAGCGAGUGAACGUUAGAUAUAGCUAGAUUUGAUUCUAGCCUUUUUCGUCUUCUUUCUAUUGCAUUUAGAUAUAAAUUUUGAACUUCGUAGAUAACCAUUUGUUUAUUGUUU